This 464-nucleotide long non-coding RNA is filed under the name Rattus norvegicus (Norway rat). RNAcentral describes it as "long non-coding RNA NONRATT025836". The record is from RNAcentral. Lineage: Eukaryota; Metazoa; Chordata; Mammalia; Rodentia; Muridae.
AAGGACGAAGGCCUGUGCAGCUACCCCAUCAACCCUGAAGGUUUACUUAAUUUUCAACUACGGGAUGUAUGCCUGUGUGCCUGCAGUGCUUGUGACAGCCAGAAGAGGGCGCCAAAUCCCCUGGAGCAGGAUUUACAGGCUCUUGUGAGCUGUCCUACUGAGAUGCUGAGAACAGAACUCGGGUCCUUUAGAAGAACCGUCUCUCCAUUCGUUUGUUUGUUUGUUUAGUAUUUAUUUUCACCUCUGUGCCCUCUAUCAUUCUGUCCUGCUUCUCUUUCUUUAAAUUGUUCUUGCAGGAUUUUCUUAUGGUGUCUUCCAGCUUAUAAAUUUCACAGCAAGAAGGCGGCCAUUCCUCCUCUCUGGUUUGUUGGCUGUCUCUUUUUCUACUUGCCUGUUUUAUGUGAUUUUCAAUUUAUUCUGUUUUUUUAGUCAUGGGACCCUGAAGAGUCUUGGCGUGAGUUUGU